GCCUACGGGGGGCAGCAGUGGGGAAUAUUGCACAAUGGGGGAAACCCUGAUGCAGCAACGCCGCGUGAGUGAAGAAGGUUUUCGGAUUGUAAAGCUCUGUUAGCAGGGAAGAGGAAGGACGGUACCUGCAGAGGAAGCCACGGCUAACUACGUGCCAGCAGCCGCGGUAAUACGUAGGUGGCAAGCGUUAUCCGGAAUUAUUGGGUGUAAAGGGUGCGUAGACGGAAGAACAAGUUGGUUGUGAAAUCCCUCGGCUCAACUGAGGAACUGCAACCAAAACUAUUCUCCUUGAGUGUCGGAGAGGA
This 305-nucleotide ribosomal RNA is filed under the name uncultured bacterium. RNAcentral's name for it is "bacterial SSU rRNA". It matches the Rfam family "Bacterial small subunit ribosomal RNA", at positions 337 to 658 of the family's 1533-position model. The record is from RNAcentral.